RNAcentral lists this ribosomal RNA (497 nucleotides) under uncultured bacterium. Its description in RNAcentral is "partial 16S ribosomal RNA". It matches the Rfam family "Bacterial small subunit ribosomal RNA", at positions 28 to 507 of the family's 1533-position model. The record is from RNAcentral.
GAUGAACGCUGGCGGCGUGCCUAAUACAUGCAAGUCGAGCGAACAGAUAAGGAGCUUGCUCCUUUGACGUUAGCGGCGGACGGGUGAGUAACACGUGGAUAACCUACCUAUAAGACUGGGAUAACUUCGGGAAACCGGAGCUAAUACCGGAUAACAUAUUGAACCGCAUGGUUCAAUAGUGAAAGGCGGCUUUGCUGUCACUUAUAGAUGGAUCCGCGCCGUAUUAGCUAGUUGGUAAGGUAACGGCUUACCAAGGCAACGAUACGUAGCCGACCUGAGAGGGUGAUCGGCCACACUGGAACUGAGACACGGUCCAGACUCCUACGGGAGGCAGCAGUAGGGAAUCUUCCGCAAUGGGCGAAAGCCUGACGGAGCAACGCCGCGUGAGUGAUGAAGGUCUUCGGAUCGUAAAACUCUGUUAUCAGGGAAGAACAAAUGUGUAAGUAACUGUGCACAUCUUGACGGUACCUGAUCAGAAAGCCACGGUUAACUACGUG